AUCCAUUUGACGAGUCCCAAAUAGGGUGAAACACACGUCCGGGAU
This is a non-coding RNA of Schistosoma rodhaini, 45 nucleotides long. Lineage: Eukaryota; Metazoa; Platyhelminthes; Trematoda; Strigeidida; Schistosomatidae. The record is from Rfam.